Molecule: long non-coding RNA, 4838 nt
Organism: Mus musculus (house mouse)
Lineage: Eukaryota; Metazoa; Chordata; Mammalia; Rodentia; Muridae
Product: predicted gene, 32304
Exons: 3
Source: RefSeq, a predicted model, not a curated record
UCAAAGAUCCUGAUGUCCUGGCUGCAAGGCCAGCCAUGUUAUGACUUUGACAGAUCCCAGAAAUGUUUGUCCCUUGUCAACAAAGUUUACUGGCCAUCAUCAACUAUGUGGUGAGACUUAUCAACCAGGCUGGCAGACAGUCAGAUGCCGAAACUGCUAUUCUGGGGGCUCAAAACUGCUUACUCUUCCUGUGGACCAGGUCACUUGAAGACGCUCAGUGUGGUGUUAUCCUGUUUCCUAAUGCAAGGCGGCAGCGAGCCCUAGAUUCCAAGCAGCCAUAUGACCUCAAGGGAGAACAGUCAACCUCAGCAAUAUCACUCGGGGAGGCAAAGCAGUCCAUCGGUCACACUGACAACUAGCUGUUAUGCCCUGCCUGCUCUGAUGUGUCUCCACCUUGUAAACAUACAAGCUUGGGGAGAACGGACGGGGUGAGCAACGGACACAUAUCAUCCUGUAAACUGAGGACAGGAUCCAGCGCGUGACUGAGAAACUCCACAUUUGCUGUACUCUUGAGCCACGCUGCGGGUAAGCCACAAUUUCUGCACUUCGUUUUUCUUGACGUCCAGCCACAAUGAGUGCUCAGAGUUCUAAGAGGGAUCUUAGGACCCUGAGAUCUUAGGGUGUUGAUGCACUCCGUUCCAUCACAACACUCUGGAGUUCUAUUUAUUUCUCUCCAGGAAUAUUGAUGGGGUAGGUGGUGGUGGGGGGGGGAACACAAUGUGAUUGCUUGGCAGAAUAGAAAACACUUUUUGCCUCGGUUUCUCUUUUGGAUAAAGAAGAGUCACUAUUAUAAAGAAAUAGACAAGACAGAAGAUGUGUCCCCAAGGGGACUAUUUGCUCCUCCAAUGAGAAUCAAAUAAAGGUACCAUUAUUUCUUAAUAUAAUUGUAACUCAGUGGCUUGUAUGCUUAAGAAAGGGGUGAGUUGAAGACACACAUACCAUCAUCAACAUAUGCAGUGUUUACGAAGAUUGCUACCUCCAAAAGCUGGAAGGGCCAAGGGGCCCCCACAGAGCAGAAGACUUGCAGCCAAGGUGCUUUUAAACAAAAUAUGCAUAUUCAGUGAAGAGUGGCAGGGAACGCUCUUCCCUGCUGAACAGAACAGCCUUUCUAAGUCCAGCACUUUGUGAGGCCCAUAGGAAAUUCUACUCAUGCCAGUUGGAAAAGAAUGUUCCCAGUACGAACACUUGGAGAGGAAGUUGCAACCACAGGAGACAGACUAAACAACAGAAUUCCCGAAAGCAUUUGAGUCACACGUGUGUGCACGUCACGUUCCACUUCCCUAGGGCCUGGGUUCCCUAGGAUAGAAGGGUGCUGGGGAAAAGAUCAGACAGCCUACUCAUCCCUGGGCCAGACAGAUGCUUCUGCCACUUCAGGGCCAAAAGUCCCAACAGGGGAGCUGAUACCUGCAGUUCUCCUGAGGUCACACAGUGUCAACUGGACAUUACCUCCAAAAGGAGCCUUUUAUCAAGUCCAUGUCAUUAAGCACCUAUGUUUUCUAGCUACAAGAGACUUGGCCACAGGGGCAGACAGCCUGGUGUUGUUUACUGGCAGGCUAAUGGCCUUUUAGCCAGCACAGAGGGCCUGGGCUAUGGAAGGAAGAACUGUCCAGUGUACCUUAGGAUAGCUGUUGACCCUCUAUGUGGCCAGGGAAACCGGGUUGGGGUGUAAGUGCCAUUGAAAGGGAAGAUAAAGCUUUGCUGGAUGCUCAAAGGAGCCAGAUUUCCUGGAAAGCUUGUGAAAACAGAAGCCAGGCCCCUACUUUCUUUUCAGGAAUGAGAAUCUCAAAGACAGUGGCUCUCAACCAAGGCUCUGUCGUCCACCCCCAAAGGCCAUCAGACAUUGUCUGGGGACAUUUUUGAUUUGUCACAACUCAGAGGGUAGUGGAUGAGGCCAGGGAUGCUACGCAUCAUCUACAGUUCGAUCCCACAGCAGAAGUGCAUCAGGACCAAAAUGUCAAUAGUUCAGUAGAUGGCUUCUCUGUGGGAGAUAUCGUCUGCAAUAUGUGGGCUUCUGUUUUUGCAUGGCUUGUAUGUACAAGCCUAUUCACAUUCAUGUGUUGCAUGUGGAAACCUGAAGUUGAUAUCGGGGUCUUGAUCACUCUCCACUUAUUUAUUGAGGCAGUACCCCUCACAACUGAACCCAGAGGAUACAGAUCAGACCAGGCAUAACUAGCCAACUUGAUCUGGUGAUCCUGUCUCUGCCUUCCAAGCCUUGUGAUUAUGGAGGCCACCAUGACUGCCUGGCCUUUACAUGGAUUCUUGGAUUGCGUGGAUUCAAACCCCCAGUCCUCAUAACUGUACUGCAGCUCUGUAUCCGCUAGUGACACCUCAUAGUAUGUGUGCUUUUAACAAGUUCCCCAGACAAUCUUGAUGGGCAUUGACUUGAGAAUUCUGUACAUGUCUUGGUAUCCAGUCCAGAGAUCAGGCAGGAAGGUAGUGAGGGAGAAGGUAGUGGAUAUUCUUACAGAUGUACCAAAAGCAUCAUUGGUGAAGACAGGUCCAGCAACCCUUAAUAAAGGCACCGUGGAGCUCUGGGACUGGGUAGGUGAGUGAGUCACCCAGAGUAGAAAGGUCAGAGCUCAGACAUGUCACCCUCACUGCCAUUUAUGUCUCCAGAGCUGUGGCAGCUUUGUGGAUACAGCUUGGAAGAGUUUAAGGCCUCCUUUCAAGGGCACCGUGUUUUCAACUAUGAUUGUUGUAAGCUGAUAAUGGAUAGAAGUGGAGGAUUUGUAGACAUGAAUUUCUACUCCACGGCACACAAUGGAACAGGACACAUGACGGGGUUUAGCAGAAACCCUGCUAUCAUAUCUGCUAUGGUUCAGGAGUAACAAGCCAAGAAAUGUUUCUAUAGUCCUAGUCGUCUGUCUGUCUGUCUGCCUGCCUGCCUGCCUGUCUCUCCUCUCCUCACAAGCUGGAUAUUUGCAGGUCCCCAAUGUCCUUGCUCGCCACUCCACAGGACCUGUCUAUCCUGGUACAGUUGAGAGAUGCCCGAGAAAGGGCCUUUUAAGGAACUGCCAUGGAAGAAUCAAUUCCCUUGCAGGUGGAAGGUGGAAGAUGGAAGGAGGGAAACCAGAAGCAGGAACCUGAGCAAGUGACGACAUUUUCUUGUGGUUCUGAGGCCAGUGGGGGUGGAGGUUGCUUAUCGUUUUCUUGAAACAGUUAUAAAAAUUGUCAUGGCUAAAAGAAAUAGGAAGAGACACAGAGUAAACUUUUCUUUAUGCAUCGGAUUGUAACAUUUUUUUUUGUUUUUUUGUUUUUUAAGGUACACAAAGUUUGGGUUGCUCUUUUUGCUGACUCACUCCUCUUGCAAUUUUUACAAAUUCUACUGUAAUUACUGCCUUUCUCCUAAAAUGUUAUAUUUCUAAGACAUUUAACCUACAUGCUAGUGUUGCCACAGUGGUUAAAUGUUAAAACCAAAUAUUCCAGUCUUUUUAUUUACAAGGACACAGGAGGUACUGGGCUAAUCAAAAGAAUCAACUUAUUAUCCUGACACGAAUUUGAACAUUAUUUCAUAUUUUAUCAUUAUAAUCUACUAAUACUCUACAACACUCUGUUGGUGCUUUGAGAGAUCAGUGUUACCAUCACUUAUGAAAACCAUUACAAUCCCUUGAUACUGGUUGGAAGGAGGUGUGUGUGUGUGUGUGUGUGCGUGUGUGUGUGUGUGUGUGUGUGUGUGUGUGUGUAUAAGGGAAUGAACCAGAGACAUGAGUUGGGUGUGUGGGUGGGGGGAAUGAAAAACCAGGGACAUGAGUUUUGUGUGUGUGUGUGUGUGUGUGUGUGUGUGUGUGUGUGUGUGUGUGUGUAUAAGGGGAAUGAACCAGGGACAUGAGUCAGGUAUCUUUAGAUAGUUGGUUUUGGAUCCCCCAGACAGGUUCCUAAACCCAGUUUUACACACAAGCCAAGUCCUUUCUACCCAACCUCCCCUCUCUCACUUCCCAGGCCCUCCCUGGCUCUCUCUUCUAUCACAUUCACUUGCUGCUGUCUUAGCUCACUCCCAUAGAGCUGGAACUGCCUGUGCCUGUCUUUGGUAUCACAGCACCUGAUAACUGUUGCCAAGAGAAUGAUCACUCCAGUUUCCAUAUGGGAGAGCUCAGAUUCUAGAGUGCUGUAUCCAGUGAGGGUCAAUACUCUGAGGUUUUCAGAACCUCACCAACUGCAAGCCUUAUGGGUUAACCACUUGAUCCUGACCUGAAGUUUUCCUCCCUGACUUUAAUAAGUACUUUCAAUGCUCCAUUGCUGACUUAUCAUGGGUUUUAUUGGUUGUACCAUAAUAACAGAAUGGCAUGGUUUUCCUUGCCUGACCACGAAGAAUUGGAUGCCCAUGGUCAGGUACAAAUGAAGCAAGUGUUUACUGAAGACCCCAAGGGAAAUGACAACCACAGAGCAUCUUCCCAAGACUGAAGCUACCCAUCACCUACACAGAUGCCUCGUUUCAUGAAGAAGACUCUGACACAAAGGCCACAGCCACUGAUCCUAUCCCCCCAAGGAACAGCAGAGUACCUAGAAGCACUGAAUGGAAUAGUACCCAAGCCACACGCAGUUCUUACAACCAAGCUUUCAUCGUUCUCCCCGACCUUUACCCUGGAACACAAUGUGCUAUAUAGAAGCAGCAAAUUAUAAAAAUGUGUUUGGCAGCCCAGAUGUACCAGCGCUGGAUCAGAUCUCAAGGCUGCUCCAUUUCCAGUCUGGGGCUCCAUUCCUGAGCAAACGUCCUGUAAAGAAAUCUACAAAUGUUUUUGUGACUGGUGUCCUUGAGCAAGUGUUCUCAAUGCCUCUCCAGAGCCAUAUGGAGCUUGGGCAUGCUCGCAAUAAAUCAUUCCUUUGGGUCUCUAUCAUUA